UUCAUAAUAAUCAUUUUAUUAUUUUAUUACUUACUGCUUGUUUAAGUACUAUUAGUGAAAGGAAAAUGAUUUGAAAAUGAAUGAUAUUUUUGAAUUUAUGAGGAUCAUAUAUAAAAACUAUGUUUAUGUAUCAUUAUUCUUAUUGAAAUUAGUGAUAGGAGGAUGGAAUGUCCUUUGGGAUGGAAGGCUUUAUACCUUUUUGAUAUUGGCACACCAUAACCUAAUGUCUUCAAACUUAACCAUGCCCAAUUUAAUGUUAUUAAGUUGUUUUAUGAAUACUGAAAAUUUUCAUAAAAAUGUAUUUAUGACUCAUCAUUUGUCUCAAAUCUGUAUUUGUCUAACAUCUGUAAUUAGAUAUUUACCCAUAAAGUGUAUUAAGUAGUUUGAGUUAAUAAGGCCUGUUAAUACCAAGGUGCCUAAUUAUUGCAAAAAAUUAUUAUAGUAAUUUUUUCUUUGAUAAGUAACAACAGUAAAAUGAGUAACACAAGUAUAUAGGAAAAUAGAAACUUAACCACCACUACCACCACCACUAAUAGCAUAAACUUCAUAUGCAAAAGAAAGGAUUAAGAACAAUAGAUAAACAAACAGUGAUUGGUGUGAACUUUAACAUAAAGACAACAGGCAACAUAGCAUACAAAUUUUAUCAUUUUACAUGUAGUUGGUGACAUUAACAGCUGUCAUUAAGCCACUUCGUUCUGAAUUGAUUCCCAAGGGUGUGUGCUUUGCUCUGAAACUUGAUUGAUUUUAGGAUUUGAUUGUGUGUUGUUUAUUCGAGGAAGAAAAAUAGAAAAUGAAUAAGAGAGCAUGAUCCUUCAUGUAACAAAAUAUCUCUGAUAAAUUACAAAAUUAAUAAGUUGCCCAUCAGUUCCAAAUAUUUUUUAUAUUAUUGGUUUUACUUAUGUCAAAUAGAAUAUUGAAAUAUAGAAGUUGGAGAAAAGAUGAGAGCAUCUGCAAUGGAGUGGCUAAAAAUGUGUUUUAUUGAGAAUCUGUUUGACGUGGUUAUGAUUCAUGUGAUGAUUGUCAACACUUAUACUAUGCUCCUUGUGGCAGGUUCUGAUGAACUUAACAAAUGACAACCCUGUGUGCUGUCAGCAAAUUGCUACCUGUGGAGGACUGGGGAAACCUUGUCUUUAUUGAUUGCUGGCCACUUUCCAUCAUUCAGUUCAUCUUUGCCUCCCUUCAGCGAUAUAAGAAAUGAUACUUGUUGUCCAAGUCUUAAGACAUUUUAAAGGGUGUGAUCGGUUAGAAAUUCUUGGAGAGAUGCAAAAUAUGGUCAAAGAAUUCAAGAACUUAGUUUUUAAAGUUUUUUCAUUUUUUAAUAUAUGUAAGCAUGGUUUAAAACUUUUUAUUUAAUUCUUUUGUAUAUACUUUUGAACAUAUUUAAUUUUCAUUUAUGAAAUAUAUGACAUUAUUCUAUUCAAUAUG
Molecule: non-coding RNA, 1425 nt
Organism: Camellia sinensis
Lineage: Eukaryota; Viridiplantae; Streptophyta; Magnoliopsida; Ericales; Theaceae
Source: RefSeq, a predicted model, not a curated record